RNAcentral lists this long non-coding RNA (26616 nucleotides) under Capsicum annuum. Its description in RNAcentral is "long non-coding RNA (CANN_LNC013788)". Lineage: Eukaryota; Viridiplantae; Streptophyta; Magnoliopsida; Solanales; Solanaceae. The record is from RNAcentral.
UCAUCUAAGGUAUGUGUUCUUGGGUAGUAGAAAUACAUUGCCGGUUAUUAUUGCUACUGAUUUAGGUGAACAAUAGGUAGAGGCUCUCAUUUUAGUUCUGAAGAGGUACAAGAGAGCUAUUAGUUGGACUAUUACAGAUAUCAUUGGUAUCCCUCCUGGCAUAUGUAUGCACAAGAUUAGCUAGAGGAAGAUUGCGUACCCACUAUUGAGCAUUAGCGUCGUUUGAAUCCACCUAUGCAAAAGGUGGUGAACAAAGAAAUCAUCAAGUGGCUAGAUGCAGGGGUACGGGUAUAAGUACGUGUACGCCUGGAUUGCCUUAUCUGCUGUAUUGCCUACUGCUUGCCCGCAUUUAUUUUAUAGUUGUUUUGAUUUAGUCGUAGUUAGUUAGUUGUAAUUAGUCAGAUUUUUACAUAAAAUUGUUCUUAUAGAUGGCAUGGCAUUAUAACAGGAGUUUGUGCUGAAUCACUACUAUUGAAACAUUUAGGCUCUAAGUUGUGACUCAUUCUGUGAUAAUUGUUUAUGGUUUAAUUCAUUUAUUUGUUGGGUCAAGAAUCUCUAAUGCUCCUAAUUAAGUUGACCAUGUGCCAUAUGUGUGUAAGGUUAUUGUAUAUUCUUUGUUGCGACUGAUGCUAGAACUUGCCUAGUGUGUGUGUGAAGCGAAAUAAAGAUUACGAGUUUAGGAGAUGAUUUACGCAUUUGUUUGGCAGCCCUGAUUUUUUAUCUUCUUUUUACCUAACUUUGUACAUUGUCCUAGUGAACACCUAUUGAGCCUUUAGCUAUUUUCUUUGGCAACCUCAUAUGUAGCCGAAUCCAUUUUUUUUGAAAAGACCAUAAUUUGAUCCAAAAGCUCCUAAGUGCUUUAAAUUGUAGAAUCAAGUUGAGUAAAGAGUGUGGCAAAAUAAGAGGAAAAUGGUGAAAGUGAUGCCCCAAAGUUUAGUUAUUGGUACAUGAAAAUAUUGUGAUCGGGAGUGGCGCCCUGGUCCUUUCUUAGACAUUAUGCACCUCGACUAACGCAAAUAGUCUAAGCUGAGGGUGGCUAUCAUACGGAUGCUUAAGAAAAAAAAGAGUUGUAUAUUCCCAUCAUAGUGUUUUUGAUUGAGUAACAAAAUGGGUGAAGAAAAAAAGAGUUGUCUAUUCCCAUCAUAGUGUUUUUGAUUGAGUAACAAAAUGGGUGAAGAAAAAAANNNNNNNNNNNNNNNNNNNNNNNNNNNNNNNNNNNNNNNNNNNNNNNNNNNNNNNNNNNNNNNNNNNNNNNNNNNNNNNNNNNNNNNNNNNNNNNNNNNNNNNNNNNNNNNNNNNNNNNNNNNNNNNNNNNNNNNNNNNNNNNNNNNNNNNNNNNNNNNNNNNNNNNNNNNNNNNNNNNNNNNNNNNNNNNNNNNNNNNNNNNNNNNNNNNNNNNNNNNNNNNNNNNNNNNNNNNNNNNNNNNNNNNNNNNNNNNNNNNNNNNNNNNNNNNNNNNNNNNNNNNNNNNNNNNNNNNNNNNNNNNNNNNNNNNNNNNNNNNNNNNNNNNNNNNNNNNNNNNNNNNNNNNNNNNNNNNNNNNNNNNNNNNNNNNNNNNNNNNNNNNNNNNNNNNNNNNNNNNNNNNNNNNNNNNNNNNNNNNNNNNNNNNNNNNNNNNNNNNNNNNNNNNNNNNNNNNNNNNNNNNNNNNNNNNNNNNNNNNNNNNNNNNNNNNNNNNNNNNNNNNNNNNNNNNNNNNNNNNNNNNNNNNNNNNNNNNNNNNNNNNNNNNNNNNNNNNNNNNNNNNNNNNNNNNNNNNNNNNNNNNNNNNNNNNNNNNNNNNNNNNNNNNNNNNNNNNNNNNNNNNNNNNNNNNNNNNNNNNNNNNNNNNNNNNNNNNNNNNNNNNNNNNNNNNNNNNNNNNNNNNNNNNNNNNNNNNNNNNNNNNNNNNNNNNNNNNNNNNNNNNNNNNNNNNNNNNNNNNNNNNNNNNNNNNNNNNNNNNNNNNNNNNNNNNNNNNNNNNNNNNNNNNNNNNNNNNNNNNNNNNNNNNNNNNNNNNNNNNNNNNNNNNNNNNNNNNNNNNNNNNNNNNNNNNNNNNNNNNNNNNNNNNNNNNNNNNNNNNNNNNNNNNNNNNUAUUGUGAUUUCCGUUUUAUUCAUGAGCAUCUAAGUUUAUUUGUUAGGGUUAUGGAAACCUUGUAGUAUACUCUCUAUUGCUAUGGGUUUUUGAAUUUAUGAUGUGUUAAUCCACUUAUAUCAUUGCUCUCUUCAUUUUGACUGAAUUCUCGUUGUUGCAAUCAUAGGGAAUGCGUGAUUAUAGCAAUAACUUGUUCGAUAGAAAAUUUACUAUUUGGAAAAAGAGAGUGUGAUAAGAAAAUAGGGUUUCCAACCUCUAUUUUACACGUUAAUACCUUAGCAGGAUUAACUUCUUGAAGAGUUUGUACAAUUGGUUGUACACUUUGGAUUCAAGAGAACUAAGGUGAAUAAAUCCUUGAUGGUUGAGAAACACUUGGAUUUAGAAUUGGAAUACGUCUCUCUAUAAGUGCAUGCAUGUAUAAAAUCCUUAUUACUCAUAGUUAAUAGAGAAGUAGAAGCUACAAGGUGGACAUAACCCUAAUUUGUCAUUUUCUGUGAUCAAAUAUUAUUACACAUAUCAUCUCAUCGUUACACUGAUGAUAUUAUUGUCCACCUAAACUGAAAGCCCCCUUACCUUGGAACCUUCAAUCAAUAGUCUAAUAAUAAUCGCAAUACUUAGUGAUCAUAGUAUUUCCUGUGGGAUUUGAGACCCAACCCAGUUGGGUUCUAUAUUUGACAGCGACCGCUUGCACUUUCUAACGAGAGUUGUAAUUUGGGCAUAUCAUGUCCAAAGAAGGAGAUACACUGUAAUUCCUUGAACCUUUAUGAAAUAAAUGUGCCACUUUCUCUUUUUGUAAUGAAUCUAGUUUGGGGUAGGGGGUACACAUGAAUUGACCCUCAAACUCUGAUCUCAGCCAUAAGCCACGUAUUCAAGGUACUCAGUUUAGAUCACAAUAUCCAACUCAUGUAUCAUAUUCCAGACUUAGUUACGUUUAUGUGUUUCCGCUCAUGCAUAUCUAGUAAUUACUUUCAGGAUUGUUAGCAUUUUCAGUUUAAGGAAAUAGUCUCCCUUGAACUUAUCUAGUUUCAUUCUCAGAUUUCCAUAAUAAACUUAGUAUCAAUUACCCUUGCAUAUUCAGUCAUGCUUUCAUGUGUCAGAUCAGUUAUGUAGUUAUGCAUCAGAUAUGCAUGUUUAGUAUAAUAUAUUCAGCUUAUCAGUCAUGCCAGCCAUGAAAUCAUACAUCAGAUAUGCAUGCUCAGAAAAAAUCUCAGCAAAUCAGUUAUGUCAGUCAUGUACUCAUAUUUCAGUUGUUCAUGUUUAGAAUGUACUUUAGCUUGUUAUUUACCCCAUCUCAGUCAGUCUUAUUCGAGGACGAAUGUUCCCAAGGGGGAGAUAUUAUAAGACCCCGCAAAAUUCUAAGCUUAAUUCAGUCCAUUUAUGAUUGUUAAGGGGGGUCCCAUACUUAGAAAAUUCAAGGUAAGUUUCCAGACAUUGUUUAUUUUGGCCUUCAAAAGUUUGCAAUCUUAUUUCACAAUCUUAACAUUCUUAAGUGGUAUAUAUUUCCAUUAAUUCAUGAUCAGUAAGGUCAAUAGGUGUUCUCAAACAAGUUUUGAAUUUUUUAGAACUCGUUUAGACCACGUUUAAAAUCCCAAAACAGUGGGCCAACAUGAUCUUGGCGCACCGCAUUGCCAAUCAUGUUGGUUGAUAUUAUUGUAGUUUUCCAGGGUCAAAGUACUGAGAAUUGAUGCGAUGAUGGCACGAUGAGUCAACUAUCACAUUGAUGCCAUCGACGUGCUGCAUCAAUAAUAGCAUCGAUGCCCAGUUUUAGUCAUUAAUUAUCUGUAUUUUAAGUGCAAAAGGGUCAAUUCCCCACCGCUAUAUAAGUCUAAAACACGGUAGUUAUCCCUAAUUCAAUAAAAAAUAUAGUGUCUCUCUCAAGUUUCUCUCAAGUACAAGUUAUGAUUUUUAAUUAAGGAUUAAAAUUCAAUACUCAAAUUCAAGAAUCUCUCCGUCAAUCUUUGUACAAUCAAAAACUAGGGUAUGCAUAGUGUUCAUUCACAGAUUCCUUUCAUCCAUGAAGCCCAAGAAUCUACUUUUAAACUAUGAAUUCUGAUAUUAAUGUUAUGGAUUGAUUAUGUUCAUGUGGUUUUUGUUGUACAAUUCCCAAUUUGGAAUCUUUAUUUGUUUUAUGAAAUUAUGUUAGAAUGCAAGUUGAAAACUAUGAACAAAGUUAGUUAUGGUGUGUUAAUUUGAUGAUUAUGCCUAUGCCCUAAGUGGUGCAUGUAUGGUGUUUGAUAAAAUGCCUAAGAGAAUAAAAAUUAUGCAUUGUAGCUUAAUUGUGAUCCAAACGACAAAUAUAUGUUUUACCCUUAUGUUCCAAUGACUCCCAUGUUAUUGAUGUGCAUUGUAGAUGUUAGUUGGAAUGCUCAUGAUGUUAGAGUAUGAAAUUAUGACAUGAUUAUAUUCAUUCCUAUCCAUGUACAAGAUUACGAUAACCAUGUACUCCAUGAAAUCCUCAACUUAUUGUAUUAUGGAUUGUAGAUAUUGGUCAUGUAUCCAAGAAUGUCAUGCCUUGUUAGUUUCCUUCUAUCGGGUCCUGGGGGUACUUGUACCCAAAAAUUUAGUUCUGUCCCUAGAGCCAGUGUCAUUUUUUUCACGAUAUCCUCAGUUAACCCAUGUUUAGUAGAAUUCAGCCAGUCAUGUAACUCAGGAAAACUCAGUAAUCCGAGUAAUCUCAAAAAGCUCAGAAAUUCAGUAAUCUCAGUAGUAUUUUACCAGUCAACAAAACUCAAUAAACUCAGUCCAGUUCAUUUAAUCAUAUUCAGUGUCUAUUCAGACGGGAGUAGGAUUUAGCACUAAGUAAGCCCAAGGAUGGGAACUCACCUGUUAUUAUUAGAGGGUGUGUUUCUUAGAAGAAGUCCUUGCACUCCAGAACUACGUAGCUAGCGUAGGUUGAGACAUCAAACCUGUUAUUUUAAGGGUAGAUGAGAUGGAUUAACCUAUUAUAUAAGGGUCCCACCAUUCUCCUUUGAGUACUUAGUAUAAGAGGGAUCACUCACAGCUUGUCCUUACCAGUGGCUCGGUAUUGACACUCUUCUAAUUAGGGUUACACAUUGGACCCCAACUCAGCUAUAAUAGCUUAUUCGGGGCAUGUUGGCUAGAUGACUUCUCCCACAGUUUCAGUUACAAAAUUAGGACUAUCAGAUACAGUCAUUGAGUCUCAGUAAUAGAACUCUGAUAAUUCUUCAAAUAUUAGGACUAUCAGAUACAAUCACUCAGUACAGUACGGAACUCAGCUAGUUUCAUCAAAAUCUAGACUAUCAAAUACAGUCACUCAGUAUCAGUUAUCAGUAAUAUAGUACUAGUAACCUUAGAUAUCGAUUACCUGUAAACUCCAUAAUUCAUAUUAUCAAUAGCCUCAGUAAUUCAGCAUCCCAAUAUUAGUAAACUCAGAUGUUAGUACAUCUGUAUUCAGUAUUGUCAUGACCCCAGUUCUAGUUUAUGUAUUCAUAUAUGUAUUUCUCAUGCGUUCAUGUUCAUGUCAUCAGUCAGUUAUUAUUGUUCAUAUAUAUGAACCCUUGUAUUCAUCUUAGCUCACUUGCAUACCUGUACAUUCAAUCGUAGUGAUGAAUUUAUGCGAUGGUGUUUUAUACCAUAGGUUUAGAAUCCCAAACUCUCGAGCUUGCAUAGUAAAUCAGACAUUCAGUAGCCAGACUAGCAGUGAGUCCUCAUUAUUCGAGGAUAACAUGAAUAUUUUAUUUCUUUAGUAUUUUAGUCGUUUAGAGUUAGUGUAACACCCCAAUUUGCUAAACUAGAAUGCUACACGGUGCUCAUGACCCUGAAGGACCACAAGCUAACCCAUGACUGAUAUUUGUACCUGUAUACUGCAUAAAAUACUGAAUAAUGUAGAAACAUGCACUGAAAGGCCAUAAGAUUCAAUACUUAACAUAACAUGGAUGGUAUAAUAUCUGUGGGGUAAUACAAUACCCAAAAUAAAAUUUUAAACACUAAAGUCUGAAACAUAAUAGUCUGUAUCUAGUCUGAAAGCAUCUACUAUUUGAAUACUCUGAAUAAGGAGUUGAUGGGACAUAUCCCCAACUAACUCGAACAAAUAACUAAUCAAUGAAAUAGUGUAGAAAUAAUCAUGUCCUCAAAGGAUGAGGACUCACUUCUAUUAUGACUAUUGAGACUAGAAUCUACUGCUGAUCUAGAACUCGUGUCUCUGAACCUAUGGUGUAACAUAAAAAGAAAGCCUCAUAACGAAAAUGCAUCAGUACAGUGUAAUGUACUGAGGAUAAAUGUGAGGUAGGCUAAUGCAAAUGUUAACAUGCAUGAAUAAUGCUAGCUGACUGUUUAACAUGAACGCGAGAAUGCAUACAUAAAUUCUUAACUAUAACUGACACUGUGAUAUCAUGAUUACUAAAUCUGAAUACUAAUGACAUAACAUACUAAUAACUGAUAUAACUGAUAACAUAAAUAGUUGUAUCUGAAUGUAACUGAUAACAUAGGUUACUAUAUCUGACAGUCCUAAAUCUGAUGGAACUAUCUGAGUUCCUUACUGUAUCUGAGUGGACUCUAUCUAACAGUCUUGAAUCUGAAGAACUAUUUGAGUUCUUUUACUGAGACUGGUACUGAAACUCUGGAAGGUAGUAUUUAACUGACAUUCCCUUGAUACGCCAUUAUGGCUAAGUUGGGGUCCAAUCUGUAACCCCAAUUGGAAGGUGUCAAUACCGCAUCACUGGUAAGGAAAAACUGUGGGCGGCCCUUAUCUGAUAGUGUCCCCAAAAGAGAAUGGUGGGGCCCUUAUCCGACAGUGCUUAUCGACCUCAUCAACUCUCAUCCGAUAGUGUGAAUGUUUCAACCUAUGCUGGCUACAUAGUUCUAGAAUGCAAGGAUGACUUCUAAGGAUCACACCCUCAUCCGAUAGUGUGUGUCCCCAUCCUUGAGUUCACUCCAUGAUAAUUCCUACUUCUAUCUGAAUAGACACUGAACAUGAGUUACUGAACUGAACAUUAGCUAAGUUACUAAGUUCCGUUGACUGAUGGAAUACUACUAAUAUCUGACAACUGACUAAGACAUGAGAUCAUGGAGGUUUUUCCUGAGUCAUAAGACUAUCUGAAGUGUAAGGAUUCAUAGCUUGACUAAGAGUAUAGUGAAAACAUGACAUGGCUCUAGGUACCCAGCUAAUGUUUCGGGUAAAAGUACCCCUAGGACUCGAUUGAAGGAAACUGACAAAGCAUGACUUACUUAAAUACAUAAUAAUCAUCAUAAUUCAUUUACUGAAGCAUUUCAUCAAACAUGUGAUAGCCAUAAGCUUGUACGUACAUGGGGAUUUCAUGAUAUCAUGCAAAUUAGACAUUCUUCCUUCAUCUAAGAAUUCAACCAAACUCAUAGUAGGCAUAGAAUGUGUAAAGAAUAUCAUACAACAAUUAACUGUCGUGAUUCAAUUCCAAUUUAAUCAGUCCUAGGGUUUCAUGAAUCUAUACCGUUACAAAUCAACCCAUAUUGAAUUUAACACUCAUUCAUGGAAUACAAUUUAAUAACUCAUUAUCAACAUAAACAAAAGCAUCACAACCAUGAACUACAUAAGAAAAUCCAUAACUUCAAUUUAGAAGAAGGGAUUCUUUGGCUUCAUAGAUGAAAGGCGUCCAUGAAUGAACACUAUGCAUACCUUAAUUCAUGAUUUCUUGAGAGAAUCUCCAAUAGAAACGCUAGCUUGUUCUUGAGAAAAACUUGAGAGAAAAUAGUAUAUUUUGGGUGAAGAAUAGCUAAAUCACGUGUUAUUGGGUUUAAAUUAGGGUAGGAAAUUGACCCUUUUAACCCUGGACGCAUCAUUUAAUUUAAGUAAAAUUUUCCUGAAUUGUGCCCCUGGCGCGAUGCGGAGCCAUUGUGUUGCCCCUUCCUUCGUGACCUGGAACUUUGGUGCGACGCGGGGGAAAUCGCAUUGAAACACUGGAAAAAGGACAAUUCAAAAUUUGAGUGCUGGCGCAACGCGUCAUAAUUUUGAACACCUACUAAAAAUUGACAAAUUCCAUUUCCUCUUGUGGCACGGCCGCCACUAACUAAUGUGGCGCUGUUUUACGAUGGAAACUUGAAAUAGUCAUAAUUUCUUACCCGAUUAUCAGAUUUAAGGGAAUCAUAUAUCGAUGGAAAGCUUAUUGAAUUUUACACAUGAAUAAAAGGGAAAAUCUUGAUUAUUUCUCAUGGAAUAAUUAUCCUUCACUUUAGAAGCUAAUACUCAGCAUUUUUGGGACAAAAUUUGCUAGAAAUCUUAGGGGUAUUACAAUAUCUCCCCUUGAGAACAUUCAUCCUCGAAUGAGACUGACUAAGAGGGGACAAUAAGCUGAACAUGAACUGAACAUGAAUAACUAGAACAUGAUCUCAUGACUGACAAUCUGAAUUUACAUACUGAACAUGCUUAUCUGAUGCAUGUGUAACUGAUUCUUGAAUGCAUGAUUGAAUGUUUCAAGGAACUAAGUUUCUCAUAAUAAGAUGCAUUUCUGAUGCAUAAUUAUAUAAAUGAGAUGAUUCAUAAAUGUAUGACUGAAUAUGCAAUGGUACUUGAUACCAAGUUUAUACUGGGAACAUGAACAUGAAACCGAAUACCAAGUUCAUGAUGAACACUGAUCAUGAAACUGAGUAAACUUAAGGAUAACUAUUACGUUGAGCUUGAUAUGAGUUGGCGAAGAAGAGGUGAGGAUACUUGGUAUGCAUGUAUCCUUCUGCUUCCCAAGUAGCUCCCUUGACGAACUGAUUUCCCCAAAAAAUUUUAACUAGAGGGACUUCUUUGUUCCUUAAUCUAUGAUUCUAAUAGUCUAAGAUUUCGCAUGGAAUCUCUUCAUAAGAGAGACUGAUCUGAACAUCAAUGCUCUGAAUAGGGACUACGACUGGUGGUCACCUAUACAUUUCUUGAGCAAAGAGACAUGGAAGACUGGAUGAACUGAGGCUAGAUCUGAAGGAAAUUCGAGCUCAUAAGCUACCUUACCGAAAUAAUUGAGAAUCUUAAAGGGACCAACAUAUUGGGGACUGAGCUUUCCCUUCUUGCUGAAUCUUUUCACUUCCUUCGUGGGAGAUAUCUUUAGAUAGACAUGAUCACUAACCUCAAACUCAAGAUCUUUUCUAUGAAUAUCUUUAUAAGACUUCUGUCAGCUCUAAGCAGCCUAGAGUCUUUCUCUAAUCAAUUAGACUUUUUCUAAGGCAUCUAAUACUAAGUCAAGACCUAUGACUGAGGCCUCACUAACUUUGAACCAACCAAUUGGAGAUAUAUAUCUCCUACUAUAGAGAACUUCGAAUAGAGCCAUCUAAAUACUGGAAUGAUAGCUGUUGUUUUAUGUAAACUAAAUAAAAGGAAAGUGGUCAUCCCAAAUUCACUUGAAAUUAAUUGCAUAUACCCUUAGCAUACUUUCUAAAGUCUGAAUAGUACUUUCUACUUGACCAUCUAUCUGAGGAUGGAAGACUGUAUUGAGAUAAACUUGGGUACCGACACCCUUUUGGAAGGAUUUCCAGAAAUAAGAGCUGAACUUGGUAUCUCUGUCUGAGAUAAUGGAAAAUGGAACACCUUAAAAUUUGACGAACUUCUUGUUAUAGAGUUUGGCAUAAUCCUCGGCUGAAUAAGAGGUAUGAACUGGAAAAAAAUAAGUUGAUUUUGUCAUCUGUCUGCAAUGACCCAGACUGAAUCAUGUUGAUGGCGUGUUUGAGGCAAACCCAUCACGAAGUCUAUGUUCACAGCUUCCCACUUCCAAGUAGGAAUACUGAACACCUGCAUGGAGCCACUAGGCUUUUGAUGCUCUAUCUUAACUUGCUGACAUAUAGAUCACUUACCCACAAACUCUACAAUUUCUCUCUUCAUCCCACUCCGCCAAUAGAGUUCUUGCAAGUUGCGGUACAUCUUUGUGGCCCCUGGAUAAAUAGAGUAGCGCACACCAUGCACUUCUACAAGAAUUUGCUGCCUUAAGUCAUCUAUACUUGGAACACAGAGAUGACCCUGAAAAUGCAAAAACCAUCUCCCCUUUGGGAGAAAACCUCUACUUUCUGAUUCUGAACUGACUCUUUCAACUUGAUAAGGCUGGGAUCUGUAUCUUGCUUUUCUUUCACCUCAAAAACUAGAGAUGAUUCUGAACUACUCUGAACACAUACACCACCCUCUGAAGAAUCCAUUAAGAAAAUGCCUAGUCUAGUAAGCUGAUGGACUUAUUGAGCUAACUUCUUCUUACUAUCCUCCACAUGAGAAACACUACCCAUGGAUAGCCUACUGAGAGCUUCAGCCAAUACGUUGGCCUUGCCCGGAUGAUAGAGGACACUUAUGUUGUAGUCUUUUAAUAGCUCUAACUACCUUCUCUGAUGAAAAUUAAGAUCUUUUUUAGAAAAGACAUACUGAAGACUCUUGUGAUCUGUAAAGACAUCUACAUGAACUCCUUAGAGAUAAUUCCUCCAAAACUUUAAGGCAAAGACUACGGAUGCUAACUCAAGAUCAUGACUAAGAUAAUUCCUCUCAUGGGGCUUAAGCUGUCUGCAGGCAUAGGCUAUGACCUUACUAUGAUGCAUAAGGACACAACCCAAACCUACUCUAGAUAUAUCAUAAUACACCACGAACCUAUCUAAACCAUCAGAAAGAGCUAAUACUGGGGCUGAGGUAAGUCGAGUUUUCAACUCCUAAAAAAUCUUCUCACAAGGGUCUAACCACUGAAACUUAACUUUCUUCUGCAUUAAUCUGUACAUAAGGGAUGUAAUAGAUGAAAAUCCUCCAAAAAAUCAUCUGUAAUAGCCAUCAAAACCCAAGAAACUCUUGAUAUCUAAUGGAGAGAUAGGUUUUGGCCUUUUUCUUACUGCUUUGAUCUUUUGAGGAUCUACUCUAAUGCAAUCACCAGAAAUAAUGUGACGAAGGAAUGCUACUGACCUUAUCCAGAAUCUGUACUUAAUAAAUUUGGCGAAUAGCUAAUGAUCUCUGAGAGUCUAAAGUAUUGUUCUGAGAUGGUCUACAUGAUCACGAUCAGUGCGGGAAUAGACCAGAAUAUCAUCUAUGAAGACUAUGACGAACAUGUCUAAGUACUGUUUGAACAUGCGGUUCAUCAAGUCCAUGAAAGCUACUGGGGUAUUUGUAAGACCAAAUGACAUGACUAAGAAUUCAAAGUGACCAUACCGAGUAUGGAAAGCUAUUUUUGAAAUGUCACUUUCUGUAACUCUGAGCUGAUGAUCGCCGAAUCUGAGGUCUAUCUUAGAGAAAUAGCUGGCACCCUGAAGUUGGUCAAAUAAGUAAUCAAUUCUGGGAAGAGAAUACUUGUUCUUGAUGGUGACCUUAUUUAUUUGAUGGUAAUCAAUGCACAUUCUGAGAUAACCAUCUUUUUAUGCACGAAUAAUACUAGUGCGCCCCAUAGAAAAAUACUUGGUCUGAUGAAUCCCUUAUCUAACAGAUCCUUCAACUGUUCUUUCAAUUCUCAGAGUUCUACUAGUGCCAUUCUAUAUGGCAGAAUAGAGAUAGACAGAGUAUCUAGGAAAAGAUCAAUGUCGAAGUCUAUUUCCCUUUUGGGAGGAAUUCCUAAAAGAUCUUCAGGAAAGACAUCUGAAUAUUCAUUCACUACUGGGACUGAUUCAAGUCUGGGAGUUUCAAAAUUAGUGUUCUUAACUCGAACAAAAUGAUAGGCACAUCCUUUAGAUAUCAUUUUCCUUACCAGAAGGUGGUAAAUAAGUUGAUCCCUGAAAGCGGAUACACUACCCUUCCACUCAAGGAUAGGUUCAUUUGGGAACUGAAACUGGACUAUUUUGUUUCUGCAGUCAAAUGUGGCAUAGCAAGAAUGAAACCAAUCCAUGCUGAGAAUGACUUCAAAAUUAGUCAUUUCUAAUUUGACUAAGUCUGCUGAAGUGACUUUCUAAAAUAUCAUAAACAGGCAGUUCCUGUAUACCUACCUGGCUAUGAUAGUUUUUCCCACUGGGGUAGAGACUGAGAAGGGCUCUGCUAGAAUUUCAAGAUUGAUUCCAAAAUCAACUGCUAUAUAGGGAGUAACAAAAGACAAAGAAACUCCUGGAUCUAGCAAAGCAUAAACAUGCACAUGAAAGAUAUGUACCGUACCAGUAACUACAUUAGGAGAAUUUUCCUAAUCUUGUCGAUUUUGAAGAGCAUAUAGUCUAUUUGGGCGUUGCCUGCUAGUAGCACUGGUGGUGGCACUCUACUGAUUUGGGUGGCCGGACUGAGCUAAGAAAUGGAGAUGACUCUGCAACUUGACUGAGGGCAGUCUCUAACUCUGUGGACUGGCUUGCACAAUCAAAACAGACAUCGCUGCCAACUCUGCAAGCACCCUUAUGGUUCUUACUAUAAGUCUGACAAAGGGGAUUAGUUCGGGCAUUGCUGAUACUGCCCUGAGACUUAGAGCCUGGCACUCUAUCUCUGAACUUAGGAGCUGGAGCACUGGCUGAAGAAGGAGAUGGAGAAGAUGACGUAGGAAAAAAUUGAGAACGGUUUUAUCCUUCUGAUUUAGGCUGACUAAAAUUGAAGCUACUUGUCCUAGUUUUCUUAUUCUGCUUUUCACUCUACUUAAUAUUUUUCUUCUCUAUCUGCUAAGCAUUGUCAUAAGUCUAGCUAAAGUCAUGUCACUAUUUAGUAUGGCGGAUCUGCACUCAUUAACCAUGUUAUCAUUUACCUCUAAAUGAAACUUACUUAUCUUGGCUUUGUCGUCCGCAACCACAUGAGGGGCAUAUCUGCCUAAUUGAGUAAACUUUAGAGAAUACUCUUUCACCAUCAUAGUGCCCUGCCUGAGGUUGAUGAAUUUUAGAACCUUAGCCUCUUUAAGCUUUAGGGGAAAGAAUCUGUCUAAGAAUGCAGUAACAAACUCCUCCCACUCUAUAGGACCUGUAUCAUCUGACCUUUCUGACUUUCACUGUUUGAACCAAGUAUUAGCCACAUCCUGCAACUGGUACACGACUAAAUCAGCACUCUCAAUAGUAGUCACCCCCAUGAUGCCUGUCACUUUCUGAACUUGAUCAAUGAAUUCUUGAGGGUCUUCAUCUACUUUAGACACGUGGAAGAAUGGGGGAUUCAUUUGGGUAAAGUCCUGAAUCCUAGAUACAACUGAGUUGGCCAAUGGGUUGGCCAGAGUGACAAUUGGUCGCUCAUUAUGGGUAGCUACUGACUGAGCAAGAGAAGUGAAUGCAGCUCAGUACUCUGUAUGAGAAACAUGAUCUCCCAAAGAAUAUUCUAGCUGAGGGGCUGACUGCUUUCUUCACUAAGGAGGCAUAUUCUGAAAUAGAAAGAAGAAGUGGAUUUUAUUGAGAGAUUGACUUAUGAUUAUGCUCAAUGGUACAACAUGAAUACUGAAAGAAGGGAAACUAUUCCUAAACAUCUCAUAGCCUCUUUCACAUAAAUGUGGUGCGAAAUACACCCAUGCAUAAGGCUCUAGUAGAUGCAGCUUUUAUACUUCCUAGGACUUUAUUGAACCUUAGGCUCUGAUACCACAUUUGUAACACCCUAAUUUGCUGAACUGGAAUGCUGCACGGUGCUUAUGACCCCAAAGACCCACAAGCUAACCCAUGACUGAUAUCUAUACUUGUAAACUGCAUAAAAUACUAAAUACUACAGAAACAUACACUGAAAGGCCAUAAGGUUCAAUACUGAACAUAACAUGGAUGAGAUAACACCUGUGGGGUAAUACAAUAUCAAAAACAAAACUAUAAACACUGAAGUCUAAAACAUAAUAGUCUGCAUCUAGUCUGAAAGCCUCUACUGCCUGAAUAAUUUGAAUAAGGAGUUGAUGGGACAUGUCCCCAACUAACUCCAACUAAUAACCAAUCAAUGAAAUAACGGAGAAAUAAUCAUGUCCUCGAAGGAUGAGGACUCACUUCUAUUCUAACUGCUAAGAUUGGAACCUACUGUUGAUCUAGAACUCGUGUCUCUAAACCUAUGGUGUAACAUAAAAAGAAAGCACUAUAGCGCAAAUACAUCAGUACAAUGGAAUGUACUAAGUAUAUAGGUGAGGUAGGCUAAUGCAAGGGUUAGCAUGUAUGAAUAAUGCUAGCUGACUGUCUAACAUGAAUGUGAGAAUGCAUACAUAAAUACAUAACUGGAACUGACCCUGUGAUAUAGUGGUUUCUGAAUAUGAAUACUGAUGAUAUGACAUACUAAUAACUGAUAUAACUGAUAGCAUAAAGAGUUGUAUCUGAAUGUAACUAAUAACUUGGGUGACUAUACCUGGCAAUUCUGAAUCUGAUAGAACUAUUUGAGUUUCUUAUUUUAUCUGAGUCGACUGUAUCUAAUAGUCUUGAAUCUGAAGAACUAUCUAAGUUUUCUUACUAAGACCUGUACUGAAACUGUUCGAGGUAUUAUUUAACCGACAUACCCUUGAUACGCUAAUAUGGCUGAGUUAGGGUUCGAUUUGUUACCCCAAUUAGAAGGGUGUCAAUACCGCACCACUGGUAAGGACAAACUGUUGGCGACCCUUAUUUAAUAGUGUCCUAAAAAGAGAAUGGUGGGGCUCUUAUCUGACAGUGCUUAUCCACCUCAUCAACAUUCAUCAGAUAGUGUUGAUGUUUCAACCUAUUCUGGCUACAUAGUUUUGGAAUACAAGGAUGACUUCUAAGGAUCACACCCUUAUCUGAUAGUAUGUGUGCCUAUCCUUGAGUUCACUCGGUGCUAAUUCCUACUCCUAUAUGAAUGGACACUGAACAUGAUUUAAUAAAAUGAGCAUGAGCUAAGUUGCUAAGUUUCGUUGACUGAUGGAAUACUAUUGAUAUCUGAUAACUGACUGAGUCAUGAGAUCACGAAAAUUUUUCCUGAGUCAUAAGACUAUCUAAACUCUAAGGAUUCAUAGCGUGACUGAGAGUAUCGUGAAAACAUAACAUGGCUAUAGGUACAUAGCUAAUGUUUCGGGUACAAGCACCCCCAGAACUCGAUAGAAGGAAACUGAUAAAGCAUGACUUACUUGAAUACAUAAUAAUCAUCAUAAUACAUUUACUGAAGCAUUUCAUCAAACAUAUGAUAGGCAUAAACUUGUACUUACAUGGGGAUUUCAUGAUAUCAUACUAAUUAGACACUUUCCCUUCAUCUAGGCAUUCAACCAAACACAUAGUAGGAAUAGAAUGUGUAAAUAACAUCAUACAAUAAUUAGCUAUCGUGAUUCAAUUCCAAUUUAAUCAUUCAAGCGUUUAGUCCUAGGGUUUCAUGAAUCUAGACCAUUACAUAUCAACCCAUAUGGAAUUUAACACUCAUUCAUGGAAUUCAAUUCAAUUGCUCAUUAUCAACAUGAACAAAAGUAGCCCAAUCAUGAACUUUAUAAGAAAAUCCAUAGCUUAAUUUUAGAAAAAAGGAUUCUUGGGCUUCAUGGACGAAAAGAGUCCAUGAAUGAACACUAUGCAUACCUUAAUUCAUGAUUUUGUGAAGAUUGAUGGGGAAACCUUCUUGAAUGUGAAUCUCCAAUAGAAAACCUAGCUUUUUCUUGAGAGAAACUUGCGAGAAAAUAGUAUAUUUUGGGUGAAGAAUAGCUAAAUCACGUAUUAUUGGGUUUAAAUAGUGGUAGAAAUUAACCCUUUUAACCUUGGACGCAUAAUUUAAUUUUAGUAAAAUUUUCCCAAACUGUGCCCCUGGCGCGACGCGGAGUUAUCACACUGUUUCACUAGAAAUUGACAAUUUGUAAAUUGAGGGAUGUCGCAACGCGGAGCCAACGCAUUACCCCUUCCUUCGUGACGUGGAAAUUUGGCGCACCGCGAGAGAAAUUACGCUGAAACACUAGAAAAAGGACAAUUCAGAAUUUUAGUGUUGGCGCGGUACGUCAUAAUCGCGGACACUUACUGAAAAUUGCCAUAUGCCAUUUCCUUUUAUGGCGCGGUGCGCCACUAACUAAUAUGCCGCUGUUUUACUAUGGGAACUUAAAAUAGUUGUAACUUCUUACCCUGUUAUCGGAUUUAAGCGAAUCAUAUAUCGAUGGAAAUCUUAUUGAAUUUUCCACAUUAUUAAAAGUGAAAAUCUUGAUUAUUCCUCAUGGAUAAUUAUCCUUUACUUUAGAAGCUAAUACUAGGCAUUCUUAGGAUGAAAUUUGCUAGAAAUCUUUGGGGUAUUAUAGUUAGUUGGGGACAUGUCCCAUCAACUCCAUAGAUUUCAAAAAAAUUAGAGGCUUUCAGACUACAACAAGUUUUAGAUAGUUUAUUUUAAUAUUGGGUAUUGUUAUACCAUAUUACAGACAUUGUUUUUGUCUUUAGUAUUAGUUCAGUUUUGAACCUGUUGGCCUUACAGCUUAUAUUCUACAUAUUUAUUGUAUAUUAUUCAGUGCUCAGUUAAAGAUGUCAGUCAUGGGUUAGAUUGUGGUCCUUAGGGGUCAAGAGCACCGUGUAGCAUUUCUGGUACCAGAUUCGGGGCGUUACAAUUACAAAUUUCUUCAUAUCUAUUUUGUAUUUACUUUAUUAUUCUGAGAUAGAGCUGUAUAUUUUCAUACUCUUUAACACUAUUAGUUAUCUUUACUCAUGACAUCAUAUUUUGGGAUUGAAGUUGUUUCUUUUUAGUUUUGGAUCUUGUUUUUCAUUAAUAUAUAAUCUGAAUUUGGUAGGAAGUCUCGCAUUUGGAUUUCAUUUAUUUGUUUUCUACAUCUUUAUCUUUUUUGGUUUUAGUCUUACCUACCUAUUGUUUGGAUUGGGUAGGAUCCAUCACGACCUCAACUUUUGGGUUAUGAUACUACUAGGCUCUUGAGGGUCCCUACUUGAUACCAUGGAUUAUCCCCUACUAGAGAAAAAAGUAUCUCUUAGAGAUUUAGAGUAUCAGGAAGAUUUGGAAAUUGAGACUUCAUAAAAGAGUAGUCCUCCCAUGUUGCUUUAUCUGGGGGGAAAAUUUUACCAUUGAAUUAACACUUGUAUCACUAUCCAAUUACCUUUCUUGACCAUACAUCUUUAUAGAAUUUAUAUGAGUUCUAUCCAAAUCAAUCCUUCAUUAGUGCUGCGGGGAGGAUCUUGAUAUGCCAUUACCUUGUCACCUAUCUUCUUUUUCUAUUACGGGACAUAGAAUACUAGAUGAAUUCUGAAGUCAAUAAGAAGAUGAAUCUCAUAAGCUAUUUCCCUUAUUUUCCAGAUUACUUCAUAAGAAUCAAAGAAUCAGAUUGAUAAAUUAUUAUUCUUUUUUAUAUCUUCUAAGUUUGGUGGUAAGGUUGCAAUUUUAGAAAAACCCAAAUCCCCUACUUAGAAUUUCCUCUUGGUCCUCUUAGUGCCAGUGUAGUGCUUCAUUCAAUUUUGGGCUUUUCUCAAGUUAUCUUGCAACAACUUAUUCAUUAGUUGUCAUUCUAUCAACACUUAGUCAACAACACCCAAUUUUGUUUGAUCCACUAAUUCAAAGUGUGCUAGGGUAAUUGUAACCAUAAAAGGUUUUGAGAGGAGUCUAAUUAAAGUGUAAAAGCUGGAAUUGUAUCAAAAUUCUACUAAUGGUAGGAAUUUUCUCUACUCGGUUGUCUUGUGUCCUGUAAUACAAGGUACCUCUCCAAACAUCUAUUAAGCAUUUUGGAUUGAUCAUCCGUCUAAGGAUGAUAUGCUGAAUUUGUCUUUAACUGGACCUAUAAUCCAUUAAAUAUUCCCUUUCUAAUGUACCGACAAAUAUAGGAACCCUAUAUGAGACAAUUAAACUAAGAAGGCCAUGCAAUAUGCAAAUAUUGUCUAAAAAGUCCUGUGAAAUUAGAGUAGCAUUAUAGGGAUGAGUUAACGAAAAAAGUUAGCAAAUUUUGUAUACCUAUAAAAUACCACCAGAAUUGAGUCCCUUCCUUUUGAUUUUGUCAGACUAAUGAUGAAUUCCAAAGCCAAAUGCUUCCAUGCCUUCGUGGGAAUUGGCAAGGGUUUAGGAAAUCCAAGAUAAGCUAGAUUCUUGCCUUUGUUUCUUUGACAUAUUUCACAUUCCUUAUAAAGUUUUCAUAUCUUACAAUAGGCUUGGCUAAUAAAACUAGGUUUGCACUCUCUGUUGAGUUGCAUAUACACUUGAAUGUGCUCCCCAAGGAGGUUCAUGUUGCUCAUAAAUGAGCCUCUACCUUAACUGACCAUUAGGAUUAGCAUCGCCAUUGUAGUUUUCCAUGACCUCUAUCACCCAUUUUGGCUACAUUACAGUUAGACUAGUAGAUUUAAACUCUUUGAAAUUUCUAUAGAAGGCAUCUGUUGUAAUUUUUUCUACACCCCUUUUGUAAUGUAUUUCAUAGCUAAGACAUAUGAGUUUUAUAACUCCUUUGUGUUAUAGGGUAGUAAUUCUUUAAUCUUUGUGGAAUUUAUGGUUGAAAUGAUCUAUUUUGAUUACAAAAUGGUUCGAUUGCAAGUAAUGAUGCCACUUAUCCACCAUUAUAAGUAAAGCAGUUCUUUUCAAUUGUUGACAAGACAAAAUGCCUAAUACUUAAUUCUUUGCUCAAGUAUACAAUUGGUAUACCAAUUUAAGUUAAUAUAGAUCCUACUCCUAGUCCACAAAAAUCAACUUUAACAUUAAAAGAAAUGGAAAAAUUGAGUAAUGCUAAAGCUGGAGCUCUUACCAUUUCUAGUUUGAGCUCCUCGAAUACCUUUGUUGCAUCCUCGGUCCACAAGAAGUUUCCCUUUUUAAUAGAUUAGUUAAAGGUUUAGUAAUCAAAACAAAAUUUUUAAUAAUCUGUGAUAAUAUCAUAUAAGGCCUAAGAAACCUCUCAAAUUUUUAAUAGAUUUAGGUUUGCCCUAUUGCAACAUGGAUUUAAUAUUCUCUUCAUCUAUGCUAACCCCUAACAUCACUAACUAUAUGACAUAAAAUUCCACCCUUUUUUAAGAAAAAUUACAGUUAGAUCUAUUGGCAAAGAUUUGGUUAGCUCUUACUUAAUCAAAUACAAUUUCUAAAUAGGUCACAUGUUCCAUAAUAUUUUGUACUAUAAAUUAAAAUAUCAUUAGAUAAUAUGAAUACAAACUUUCUAAUAUGCGGUCCAAAUAUUUUGUGCAAAAGAUCUUGAAAAGUGGUUGGAGCGUUUGUGAGCCCAAAUGGAAUUACCCUACACUCAUAAAGACCAUAAUAAGUUUUGAAUGUUGUUUUCUGUUCAUUUUCAUCCUUCAUUCGAAUCUGGUGGUCGCUAACCGUAGAUCCAAUUUGAAAAAUAUUAUGCUCCUUGUAAUUCAUCCAACAGAUCCUCUACCACUAGUAUUAGAUAUUUUUUAAUUGUUAUCUCAUUGGGGUUUUGAUAGUCAACACAAUGUCUGCAACUGGAAUCUUUUUUCUUGAUUAUUACAAUUAGUGAAGUAAAGGAAGACAAACUAGUGGUCACCAUUUGAGACCUAAGAAUUUCUGUUAUUAUAAUCUCAAUUAAAUAAUUCGGCUCAACAGACUAUCAAUAAGGCCUGAGGUUUAUAGGCUUGGAUCCUGGCGGCAAAUCAAUUGGGUGUUCACAUGAGUGGGUAGGUGGAAAUUCUGUGGGCUUUUAGAAAAGAUCUGAAUAACAAAGGUUCUACUAUUUUAAAAAUGGGUUCUUCACCCUUCUUUGCCUCAACCAUCAUUAAUUGUAUAAUGUAGUGGUAUUUCCCUUUGUUUGAUCAUUUUAUCACAUUCUUAGCUUGUAUCAUGAAUAUUGGCUCAGAACUUGUGUCACUUAAAAAAUGAAUGACUUGUGAUACCCUAAUCAAGGAAAUUUCUAGUAGUUUGGUAUGCAAAGCAAUAAGUGAAAAUAGGUCUAUCCAAUCUAUUCCAAGGACGAUAUCAUAUCGCAGAACGUAACAAUCUUAAAUCAAAUAUGAACUCAUGGUCUUGCAUUUCCUACUAGAACUUUUUGCAUAUCUGGCUACAGAUCACAUGUUGACCAUUUUCCACUCUAACCCUCAAGGGUCUAACCAUUGUUUCUACAGGGGCUACUAGAAUUUAACUACAUGAGGGUCGACAAAGUUAUGGGUGAAUCCACUAUCAACUAAGACUACCAAUUUUUACUUCUUAGCCCACCCAAGGAUUUUGAUGGUGGAAGGUUCUUAUGUUUUGCCUUACGAGGCCAUCCAUUAUAAUAGCCCUUAUUAUGGGGCCUCUGGCCUCUAUUCAAUAGUAGGAUCCACAAUCUCUUUUUGUGUGUUAGAACUUCUUCUCCUUCUAUAAUGUGUAGAGGUUUGGGGCAUACAUUGGUGGCCUGGUGUAUAUUUAUCAUUACACUUAUAAAAAAUAUUCUUUUCUCUACAUUCUUUAAGGGAUAAUUUCUUACUUCCUAUUAACAUCACAACGACUAUAGUGGAAGCACUAGUGGGUGGUAAGAGCAUGGGAGGUUUAUGUAAGGAAAAAAAUUUCAAAGUAAAUUUGGAUAAUUGUUUAUAUAUACUAUUAAGGGAUUUUUCAUGUAAUCUGGCAUAACUAUAAGCUUCAACCAGUGUUUGUGUAAUGCCCUGGGAUUUUGGUACUUGAAAUAUUUUGAAAGUUUAUCCUCACUAUCCUGACUAUGACUUUACCUAUGAGUUGUAGAGAGUCUUGACGGGUCCUAGGGACCCAAUUAUAACCAAAUUAGUAAGUCUGUGACUAUUGAAUUAUUUUUUCAAGUUGAUUCAAAUUAUUCUAACGUUUUAUUACUUAUUUAUUUUUGUUUGGCGCACCAAAAAAAACUUUUUGACUCCUCAGUAGAAAUAGCUUUCGCUAACGAAAGAGCCUUUAAUUCUAUCCAAUAUGUCUUCCUUUUCCAAAUAUUUUUACGAAUAAGUUUUUUUGAUCUCGAAGUGCGUUUUCUUGGAACUACCAUUAUAAAAUUCUUCAUUAUUAGUUAUAGUUAGAUGUGAAAUAUAUCUAUUGUUCAAAAUGAAUUCUUUAUAAUAUGCAAUUUAUAAUACUAAAAUAAAACAUUAUCGAGAUAGGCAAAAGAUAAGAAUAGAAAAUUCGAUUUAAGUUUUAAUUUAGUUUAAGUUAGUCCAUAUUUUUACUUUUUAUUGACUCCUUUCAAAAGAGGUAAGAUCCGGUGAAUCGAAAACAAUUAAUUAAGAAUUCAAAACUUUUUUAUGGAACAGAUAUAUGAAUAUGUGUGGAUCAUACCUUUCAUUCCAUUUCUAGUCCCAUGUUAAUAGGAGCGGAACUUAUUCUUUUUCCAACGGCAACAAAAAGUUUUCGCCGUAUGUGGGCUUUUCAAAGUGUUUUAUUGUUAAGCAUAGUCAUGAUUUUUUCAAUCUACCUGUCUAUUCAGCAAAUAAAUAGCAGUUCUUUUUCUCAAUAUGUAUGGUCUUGGAUCAUUAAUAAUGAUUUUUCUUUAGACUUCAGAUUCUUGAUCGACCCACUUACUUCUAUUAUGUAAAUAUUAAUCACUACUGUUGGGAUUAUGGUUCUUAUUUGUAGUGAUAAUUAUAUGGCUCAUGAUCAAGGCUAUUUGAGAUUUUUUGCUUAUAUGAGUUUUUUCAGUACUUCCAUGUUGGGAUUAGUUACUAGUUCUAAUUAGAUACAAAUUUAUAUUUUUUGGGAAUUAGUUGGUCUGUGUUCCUAUCUAUUAAUAGGAUUUUGGUUUACACAACCUAUUGCGACAAAUGCUUGUCAAAAAGCCUUUUUAACUAAUUGUGUUAGGGAUUUUGGUUUAUUAUUAGGAAUUUAAGGUUUUUAUUGGAUAACGGGGAGUUUAAAAUUUAGGGAUUUAUUCAAAAUAUUCAAAACCUUGAUUUAUAAUAAUGAGGUGAAUUUUUUAUUUGUUUCUUUAUGCAUUGUUCUCUUAUUUGUCGGUGCAGUUGCUAAAUCCGCCCAAUUCCCCCUUCAUGUAUGGUUACCUAAUGCCAUGAAGGGGCCUACAUAUCAUAAAGCUUUGUAUCGGCUAAGUUUAUGAGUUAGAGAUAUUCGGACUCGAAUCGCUGACAUCCGCCGUAGGGUAAACCACCACCACUCAGGUCCCCCGACUGAUUCUACCAUAGAGGCCAAUAAUAGAAAAUAACUCCCCUUCGAACACAGCUUACAACUUUCAUCGUACUGUGCUCUCCAAAGAGUAACUAUUUCCAAAAUCUCACUCAAAAUGUGCUGAGUUGGAAUCCCAUUCUAACUAAGGAUUCUUGUGGUUCCGGAGGAUCCAACUAUAGCAGAACCAGGAACGGAGGGCUUUCCCCCCUUCCGCCUGAAUCUUUGGUCUUAAGAAUGCUGGUUUUAAGAAUGAGUCAUUGCCCUUCUCUGACCUUGAAUGACCAACCUGAGAGCGGAAAGCUAAUGCAUUCCACUUAUUGAACAGGGUUCCAUGGUCGGUCCGUGACCCCUGGAUGCCAAAGGUGUCCUUGGGGUAAUUGCGUAGUUCCUACGGGGUGGAGAUGAUUGGGUCGGUCCAUCGAUUUUCAUUUUUUUUCUUUUGAUGCAUUUUGCUGAAAGGGUUGAAGUAGGAUAGUGCAUCAAGCUGUUUGCAAGAGCCAACUUGAUCCUCUUCCCCAGAGAUCUUAGAUGAGGGGACCCUGGGAGAGCCGCUGACUCCAACUACCGUCCUUGUACGAUCUAUACUAGAUCUAGCCAACUGCCUAUCCUACCUCCUCUAUGUUCUUGAUAGCCUAUCUUUGUCUCAGUAGAGUCUUUCAGUGGAACGUUUCGGUCCUCUUCCCCAUUACUUAGAAAAAGUGAGCCACCGAUUUAGGUAUAAGAUACUAUCAUUACCGCCUAGACAAUUAGAUAUCCAACCCAUAAUUGCAAUGACCCAAUUGCAAGAGCAGAGCUCUACCAACUGAGCUAUAUCCCCCCGAACCAAGUGGAGCAUGCAUGAAGUAGUCAGAUCCUUCUUCUAUUCUUUUCCCUAGCGCAGCUGGGCCAUCCUGGACUUGAACUAGAGACCACACCCGUGAAGUAAAUCAUCGCACCUAAGGUCCAGCCAAUUGGGAGAGAAUCAAUAGAUUUCUUUUUGGGAGUGAUUCAUCCUUCCCAAACGCAGCAUACAACUCUCUGUUAUACUGCGCUCUCCAAGUGUGCUUGUUUCCUCUUCUUCCUUACACUGGCAAGUCUUUGUGAAAUAACUCCAAUAAUAAGAAAAAAUAAGGCAUUAAGAGAACCUCCUGGACCAACCCUAGACACUCUAAGAUCCUUUUUCAAACCUGCUUCCAUUUCAAUUUUGAGUUAAGAAAGAAACGGGUCGAAUGGUAUGAUCCUUUAUUUACCCCAAAAUGAAAGGGGUGAUCUCAUAGUUCUUGGUCUGUGAAGAUGCAUUGUUAGGUGCUCUAUUUUAUUUUCCCACUGAGGCCAAACCUAAACCUGUGCUUGAGAGAUAACUGUCCAUACACUGAGAAGGGAUGUACAGAUUCUUGAGAAGAGAGGAGCCAUAGUGGUCCCCCCGGAUCGCCCGGAUCCCACGAGUGAAUCAAAAGUUGGAUCUACAUUGGAUCUCACCUGAAUCACCCCAUCUAUCCUCCUGAGGAGGAGUUUGGUUUCAAAUCCCGAUUCGAACAGGAGGAGUACGCCAUUAUUUCUGGUACAAAAGGGUCCAUAACCUCUAUUCAAGCAGUUUAUGUACCCGCAAAUGAUUUGACCGACCCUGCUCCUGCUACGACAUUUACACAUUUAAAUUCUACUACCAUACUAUCAAUAGGAUUAGCUGCGAAAGGUAUUUAUCCAGCAGUAGAUCCUUUAGAUUCAACACCAACUAUGCUUUAACGUCGGAUCCUUGGUGAGGAAUAUUACUAAACCGCCCAACGAGUUAAGCAAACUUUACAAUGUUACAAAGAACUUCAGGACAUUAUAUAUCCAUAGAUUGCAUGAAUUAUCCGAAGAGGAUCGUUUAAUCAUAGCAAGAGCAUGAAAAAUUGAGCAUUUCUUAUCACAACCCUUUUUCAUAGCAGAAGUGUUUACCGGUUCUCCAGGGAAAUAUAUUGGUCUAGAAGAAACAAUUCGAGGAUUUCAAUUGUUCCUUUCCAGAAAAUUAGAUGGUCUUCCUGAAUAGGCCUUUUAUAUGGUAGGUAAUAUCUAUGAAGCUACCGCGAAGGCUAUGAACUUAGAAAUGGAGAGCAAUUUGAAGAAAUGACCUUAAAUCUUAGUGUACUGACUCCUAAUAGAAUUGUUUGGGAUUCAGAAGUGGAAGAAAUCAUGUUAUCUACUAAUAGUGGUCAAAUUGGCAUAUUACCAAAUCACGCCCCUAUUGCCACAAUUAUAGAUAUAGGGAUUUUGCGAAUACGCCUUAACAACCAAUGGUUAAUGAUGGCUCUGAUAGGUGGUUUUACUAGAAUAGGCAAUAAUGAGAUCACUAUUUUAGUAAAUGAUGCGGAGAAGGGUAGUGACAUUGAUCCACAAGAAGCUCAGCAAACUCUUGAAAUAGCGGAGGCUAAUGUGAAAAAGGCUGAAGGAAGGAGAUAAAAAUUGAAGAAAAUCUAGCUCUCCGAUAAGCUAGAGCACGGGAGGAGGAUAUCAAUCUGGUUUUAUAACUAGUUAGUACGACUAGUUAGUACGUUCGAAUAAUAAAAAAAAGUUCUCUUUCUAAUCCUAUUUAGAUUCUGUCGGGUGAAUACAAUCAAAUACAAUUAAACAGAAGCCAAUUCUGAUGUAAAAAUGAAAAUAAAAGUUGUAUAAUUUUCAUUUCUUCAUUAUUAUAUCUUGCUUGUAACUAAGUGAAAUUCAAAUAUUCCUAUAAGUUUACUCACGGAAAUCGUUUAAGUUUAAGUAGAUGAAAGAAAAAAUGCAUAUCAAUGGAUCCAAUCGAUAUAUUUUUUUUAAAUUGCAGAUAAACAAACCAACCUUUCAUCAUUAAUCUUUGGAGGCGAAUUACAUAUUCAGAUCCAUAAUAAAAGAAUUAGUAAGACCUCCUUUCUUUUGAUAUCCCCAAUCUUAUUGAAUUUUAGAAGUCAAAUCAUUUCACCGGCCUGGUGAAAUGAAAAACUACGAAGCGGAAUUCACAUGGAUUUAGGAAGGGACUGCUGUAUUUAUGUACAAGCUAAAUUUUUUUGAAAAAUGAAUAUCUUUGGUCACUUUCAUUAUCAAAUAGGAUUUUCCUUCAUAGACCUUACUUACCUCGUCCUAGCGAAGAACAACACAGAAAAGGUAGUCUUCUUUUUAUGUAUUCAACCAAGAAAAAUCCCUCAACCUGGAUUCGAAUCCUAAUACUAUUAUUAAAUAAUAAUAAAAUAAUAAAAGGAAUAUACCAACAAAAGAUCUUCUAAAUCUUGAGAUGGAAGUUCCUAUACAUUCUUUUGUAUUUGAUUACUUGUUCCAUUAUAGAUCACUAAAUCACUAAGAAAAAAAUUAAAAUAAAGACCUCCGAUUCUAUUUAUAGAAAAAAUAUAAAUAUUUAAAGAAUUUCUAAUUAAAGAAGAAAAAUUAAAUAAGAACUGAGAUAAUUAAUUAAUUUAGGAUUCCCCAUCUUUAGUUUAGAGAAAAAAACAAGAGAAAGAGGAGAAUUUGUAUAAGAGUAAUAUAUAGUUAGAAGGUUCUAUUAACUAAAUAAAAUAGAAAUAAGUAUAAUGGAGAUAAAAUCGGAUUCCAGUCGAUGAAUCUUGCAAUGAGAUAUGCCCUAUAACAAACCAAUAAACAAAUCCAAACUAGGUGGUUCGACCAAAAUGAAUUAUUGUUUUGACUAAUAUAGUUAUGGAUGGCUUGACGAUUCCAAUUCGAAUCGACCAAGCGAAUCCGGUAUAUUUUCCACGUUCAUAGGAGUGCGUUUAUGUUUCUGAUUUAUAAUUAUCAUCUUUUUGGGCAUUUCUAAUAAUAUCCAUCCUUGUUCCUAUUUUGGUAUUUUUCAUUUCCGGAGUGUUAGCCCCGAUUAGCAAAGGGCCGGAGAAACUUUCUACUUAUGAGUCGGGUAUAGAACCAAUGGGUGAUGCUUGGUUACAAUUUCAAAUCCAUUAUUAUAUGUUCUACCAAGAAACUUACCGAGGAAGCAGAAGCCCUUUUGAAAGAAGCUAUUCAGGAACAAAUGGACCAUUUUAUAAUUCAGGAACAAGCAUAAAGAAAUAUUGAUCACCCUUGUCUUAAUCUUAAUAAAAAAAAGGAAUUAAGCAUCCUGGAUCAAAGUCCUAUCCAUUAGAUAAUGGACGCUUUUCAUUCUGAUUUUUUUUUUCGUAUUUUAACUUUUUAUUUGAAAAAAAAUAGAAAGAAUCUGAUUUGAAAUAAUUUUUUGAAUUGUAUAUUCAAUUAUAUACUAAUACUAAUAAACUAAAUUUGAUUUAAUGAAUAGAUUAAAAUAUUUAGAAUAAAUAGAUAUAGAGCAGGUAGCAGGAAUCGAAUCCACAUCUUUAGCUUGGAAGGCUAGGUAUUAUAGUUGUCGUCGAUUCAUUUUUUUAACAUCUCUAAUUCAAAACCGAACAUGAAAAUUUGAUUUCAUUCGGCUCCCUUAUGGAGAUGAUUCAAUGUAUAAGAUCUAAGAUGUGAACAAAAUUCGAAAAAAAAAAAGAAUUCUACCCAUAACAUCUAUGUCAGCUUUUGGUCUGAAUACAGAUAAAACGAAUUGCUUUGUAGAUGAUCCUUCUAGAAGAGGGGGAUUCUAACAACCUUUCUAGUUAUUUCGUUCUCUAUUUCUAUUUAAUAGGAUCCUGAGGAAAAGGAGUUUGUUUCCACCGAGCUAAAACAAUAUGUUGAUGUCUCUAGUAAACCAAAGUCAUCGUUUAAUAGCUAUUUUGCUUCACUUUCUUCUUUACAAAUAAGAAAUUGAAGAUUUAGUUACGAUUAGAAAUCAACUUUCUAUCUUUAUCCAUGGAUCCUUUAUUGAUACUUAUUCAAUUGGAAGUAUUGAUCCAAUUCAAAAAUUAUGUUUCGCAAUUUCA